Molecule: ribosomal RNA, 1394 nt
Filed under: Photobacterium phosphoreum
Lineage: Bacteria; Pseudomonadati; Pseudomonadota; Gammaproteobacteria; Vibrionales; Vibrionaceae
Description: partial 23S ribosomal RNA
Rfam family: Bacterial large subunit ribosomal RNA
Source: RNAcentral
GUUGUAUGGUUAAGUGACUAAGCGUACACGGUGGAUGCCUUGGCAGUCAGAGGCGAUGAAGGACGUAUUAACUUGCGAUAAGCCCAGAUUAGGCAGUAAAAGCCACUUGAGUCUGGGAUUUCCGAAUGGGGAAACCCACUUGCAUAAGCAAGUAUCAUUAACUGAAUACAUAGGUUAAUGAAGCGAACCGGGGGAACUGAAACAUCUAAGUACCCCGAGGAAGAGAAAUCAACCGAGAUUCCGGUAGUAGCGGCGAGCGAAACCGGAUUAGCCCUUAAGCUAGUUCUGCGUUAGGUGAAUGUGCUGGAAAGCACAGCGAUACAGGGUGAUAGCCCCGUAACCAAAAAUGCAUUAAUAGUGAAAUCGAGUAGGACGGGACACGUGAUAUCCUGUUUGAACAUGGGGGGACCAUCCUCCAAGGCUAAAUACUCCUGACUGACCGAUAGUGAACCAGUACCGUGAGGGAAAGGCGAAAAGAACCCCUGUGAGGGGAGUGAAAUAGAACCUGAAACCGUGUACGUACAAGCAGUAGGAGCCCACUUGUUGGGUGACUGCGUACCUUUUGUAUAAUGGGUCAGCGACUUAAUUUUAGUAGCAAGGUUAACCGUUUAGGGGAGCCGUAGGGAAACCGAGUCUUAACUGGGCGUCAUAGUUGCUAGGAUUAGACCCGAAACCGAGUGAUCUAGCCAUGGGCAGGUUGAAGGUGAGGUAACACUUACUGGAGGACCGAACCGACUAAUGUUGAAAAAUUAGCGGAUGACUUGUGGCUAGGGGUGAAAGGCCAAUCAAACUCGGAGAUAGCUGGUUCUCCCCGAAAGCUAUUUAGGUAGCGCCUCGGACGAAUACUACUGGGGGUAGAGCACUGUUAAGGCUAGGGGGUCAUCCCGACUUACCAACCCUUUGCAAACUCCGAAUACCAGUAAGUAAUAUCCGGGAGACACACGGCGGGUGCUAACGUCCGUCGUGAAGAGGGAAACAACCCAGACCGCCAGCUAAGGUCCCAAAGUUAUAGCUAAGUGGGAAACGAUGUGGGAAGGCUCAGACAGCCAGGAUGUUGGCUUAGAAGCAGCCAUCAUUUAAAGAAAGCGUAAUAGCUCACUGGUCGAGUCGGCCUGCGCGGAAGAUUUAACGGGGCUAAGCUAUACACCGAAGCUGCGGCAAUAUGAACUUGUUCAUAUUGGGUAGGGGAGCGUUCUGUAAGCCGUUGAAGGUGCAUUGUAAAGUGUGCUGGAGGUAUCAGAAGUGCGAAUGCUGACAUGAGUAACGAUAAAGGGAGUGAAAAACUCCCUCGCCGGAAGAUCAAGGGUUCCUGUCCAACGUUAAUCGGGGCAGGGUAAGUCGACCCCUAAGGCGAGGCCGAAAGGCGUAGUCGAUGGGAAACGGGUUAAUAUUCC